GCGUAGGCGGUCUUUCAAGUCAGGAGUGAAAGGCUACGGCACGACAGUAGUAAGCACAUGAAACUGGGGGGCUGGAGUGCAGGAGAGGGGAGUGGAAUUCCGGAUGUAGCGGUGAACGGCGUAGAUAAUGGGAGGAACCCCAGUGACGAAGGAGGCUCUCUGGACUGUAACAGACGCUGAGGCACGAAAGCGUGGGGCGCAAACAGGAUUAGAUAC
Molecule: ribosomal RNA, 216 nt
Filed under: Clostridioides difficile
Lineage: Bacteria; Bacillati; Bacillota; Clostridia; Peptostreptococcales; Peptostreptococcaceae
Description: partial 16S ribosomal RNA
Rfam family: Bacterial small subunit ribosomal RNA
Source: RNAcentral